AGUGAACGCUGGCGGCAGGCCUAACACAUGCAAGUCGAACGGCAGCACAGUAAGAGCUUGCUCUUACGGGUGGCGAGUGGCGGAUGGGUGAGGAAUACAUCGGAAUCUACUUUUUCGUGGGGGAUAACGACGGGAAACUUACGCUAAUACCGCAUCCGACCUACGGGUGAAAGCAGGGGAUCUUCGGACCUUUUGCGUUUGCAUGAGCCGUAGUCGCAUUAGCUAGUUGGCGGGGUAAAGGCCCACCAAGGCGACGAUCCGUAGCUGGUCUGAGAGGCUGAUCGGCGACACUGGAACUGGGACAGGGUCAAGGCUCCUGAGGGAGGCAGCAGUCGGGAAUAUUAGGCAAUGGGCGCAAGCCUGAUCCAGCCAUACCGAGUGUGUGACGAAGGCCUUCGGGUUGUAAAGCCCUUUUGUUGGGAAAGAAAAGCAGCAGGUUAAUACCCCGCUGUUCUGACGGUACCCAAAGAAUAAGCACCGGCUAACUACGUG
Molecule: ribosomal RNA, 492 nt
Filed under: uncultured bacterium
Lineage: Bacteria
Description: partial 16S ribosomal RNA
Rfam family: Bacterial small subunit ribosomal RNA
Source: RNAcentral